UCAUGGCGGAGAAGACCAACAGGGAUUGCCUCAGUAACGGCGAGUGAAGCGGCAACAGCUCAAAUUUGAAAUCUGGCCCUCGGGUCCGAGUUGUAAUUUGUAGAGGAUGCUUUUGGCGCGGUGCCUUCCGAGUUCCCUGGAACGGGACGCCUUAGAGGGUGAGAGCCCCGUACGGUUGGACACCAAGCCUCUGUAAAGCUCCUUCGACGAGUCGAGUAGUUUGGGAAUGCUGCUCUAAAUGGGAGGUAAAUUUCUUCUAAAGCUAAAUAUUGGCCAGAGACCGAUAGCGCACAAGUAGAGUGAUCGAAAGAUGAAAAGCACUUUGAAAAGAGGGUUAAAUAGCACGUGAAAUUGUUGAAAGGGAAGCGUUUGCGACCAGACCUUUUCCUGGCGGAUCAUCCGGUGUUCUCACCGGUGCACUUCGCCAGGUCGAGGCCAGCAUCGGUUUCCGCGGGGGGAUAAAAGCUCUGGGAACGUAGCUCCUCCGGGAGUGUUAUAGCCCUCUGCACAAUACCCCCGCGGGGACCGAGGACCGCGCUCUAAGCAAGGAUGCUGGCGUAAUGGUUGUCAACGACCCGUCUUGAAACACGGACCAAGGAGUCGAACAUUUGUGCGAGUGUUUGGGUGUCAAACCCUCACGCGUAAUGAAGGUGAACGUAGGUGAGAGCCCUUACGGGUGCAUCAUCGACCGAUCCUGAUGUCUUCGGAUGGAUUUGAGUAAGAGCAUAACUGUUCGGACCCGAAAGAUGGUGAACUAUGCGUGGAUAGGGUGAAGCCAGAGGAAACUCUGGUGGAGGCUCGCAGCGGUUCUGACGUGCAAAUCGAUCGUCAAAUCUGCGCAUGGGGGCGAAAGACUUAUCGAACCAUCUAGUAGCUGGUUACCGCCGAAGUUUCCCUCAGAUAGCAGUGUUGUUCUUCAGUUUUAUGAGUAAAGCGAAUGAUUAGGGACUCGGGGGCGCUUUUUUGCCUUCAUCCAUUCUCAAACUUUAAAUAUGUAAGAAGCCCUUGUUACUUAAUUGGACGU
Molecule: ribosomal RNA, 1024 nt
Filed under: Rosellinia necatrix
Lineage: Eukaryota; Fungi; Ascomycota; Sordariomycetes; Xylariales; Xylariaceae
Description: partial large subunit ribosomal RNA
Rfam family: Eukaryotic large subunit ribosomal RNA
Source: RNAcentral